This is a long non-coding RNA of Peromyscus californicus insignis, 2844 nucleotides long. RefSeq lists it as uncharacterized. NCBI's taxonomy places the organism in Eukaryota, Metazoa, Chordata, Mammalia, Rodentia, Cricetidae. The transcript is spliced from 4 exons. The record is from RefSeq and is a predicted model, not a curated record.
UAAUGAUGUUCACAGGCCACAACCAGGGUGUCUUGGGGUGGCACAAGAGGGCUGCAGACACCAGGCAAUGCCAGCAGGCUGGGGUAAACACCUUCAUCUCAAGAGCCAUCCUGGACUCAACUGGCUGCAGAAAACUGCUUUGGAGGCAAAAGAAGAAAUAAGACAAGAAGCACUCAUUUGGAAGGAUUGGUCAGUGAAGAGAUAAAAGGAAAAAGGCUGAAGAAGAGCCAUGGACCAGAGGAGACCACAGAGAUGUGACACCUGAAUAUAAUGUGUAAAGCUGGGCCAGUUGACGGGACCCAGGACUGGGAAACAUGGGCACAACCGGAUUACUUGGACAACAGGCUUAAUUGACAUGUCUCUACUGCCUGUUGAAGCUGAGUUCCUUCUGUCCAUUGGCCAUUCAGGUAUGCGGUUUUGUGGAGGUACCAUUCCAACCUUUUGCUCGUCUUCCUGUGAGCUGUCACGUCUUAUUGAUUUGGAAGGCUCUUUAUAUAUUCUGAAUAGAAGUCCUUUGUCACACGCACUGACUGAGGAUGUCCUCUCUUGUUCUGUGAUUUGCUUUUCCAGUUCUUCAUGAUAUUUCUUGGUAAGUUUUAAUUUUCAGGACAUACAAAUUAUUAGGGUCUCCCCCCCACCAAGUCCUACAAUUUAACCUUUAUAAUACUCUUAAAAGAUUAAACUGUAUAAAUCAGGUGGAUCCUACUUCUAGAUCCUAGUUGGAAGGGUCCUGGACAGAGGGUCCGCAGUCAAACCCCAUGAUCUCCCUCCUGCUUGGGCUCUUGAGGGGAGGAGGUGCUUGGGGACACUGGCAGGAGAGGCGAGGCUCAUUGGCACCUAGGAUUCUGAAAGUCCAGCCUACUCUGCUGACUGCUAUCGCAGGGUUACAUGGCCCUUUGUCCAGAGGCAGGUACAGUCCUGAACAGAGAGAGUGCUCUGAGGGACAGAGAUGCAGUAUUUCAGUUCAAGCCACAGGCAGUUGCAAAGGUGGGCUCUGAGGGUGACCAUCGCUCUGCUAGGAACUUGGAGAGAGAGAAAGUCAGCGAUGGUGUCCCAGAGGAGGGGACUGUUAAUGUAGGUUCUGUUGGCUGCGAAGGAGCCUUCCAGACAGCCAAGGAAUAGAAGAGCAUUUCAGACAAAUACUUAGAGACCUGCAGGAGCUGGACACUUAAUAAACUGCCAUGUAGCGUGAGAUUUGAGAAAGGGACCAGCCAUUUCCCAUCCCAACCUCCCCACCCGAAAGGGGGAGGUUUGCAUCCACAAAGGCCUGGCUAACGUGUCCUAGUGCUGGUGAUGAUGGACAGGCCCUGUCACUGUGUCUGUCAUACAGACAGAGAUGGGGGAGGGGUUGGGGCAAGCAGUCCUGGAAGGUCCUGUAGAGGAGGUGGCCCUGAGGCUGGCCAGGAGUACCUCUGUCUUUCAGCUGCUGUUUCUGGGUGAGCACAGGCCUGCACGACCCUGUCUCUCCAUGUGGAUGAAAAGCUGUGGAGCACUGAGCAGUCCAGACUCCCAAGUGACUUUAAUGGAGUUUAAUUUCAACUGUAGAUUUUGAAGCAGCUUGGGGAAUUUAGAGAUAAGACCAGCUCUGGGGAGGCAGGAAAGGAGGUAGAGCCCAGAAGACACCAGCUCCCUUCUCUCUGAGGAACUCCUGUCCUGAACUCAAAGUCUGACCCAGACUCCCACACUCCAUUAGAGGAUUUGUGUGGCCAGAGAUGUGCUGUCUCCUAAGGAGACAGAGGAGAAGAGUGGCAGCCCCUUUGGGCUCUUUGAGCUCAGUCCUCUCUAACCUUGGGGGCUUUAAGUUGUCUGCUGAUGCUGGGACACCCGGGUGCAGGCCUUCUCUGCCCCUCGGGGUUUUCAGGGAUGACCCAGGCCAUACACAUACGGGGGUGGGGGAAGGGGACACAGACAUACAUGGGCAUAGACACACACAGACAAACACACAAGAGGGACACAUAUACAUACAAACACACAAAGGGUCACACACACACAGACAUAAACACAGACAGACACACACAAAGGGACACACACACAUAUGGGGGAUAGGGUGGGAUCACACAGACAUAUACAGGCACAGACACACACAGACAGACACACAAGAGGCACACAUACACAGACAGACAGACACACACAAAAGGGUCAUACACACUGAAUCACAUACACAGAUACACACACACACAUACAAAGGGACACAUACACACACAGAUACACACAGAGGGUGGAGGGACACAUACACACACAGAUAUACACAGGCACUGACACACAAGAGGGACACAUACAAUACAUGGACAAACAGACAGACGGACAGACACACAAAAGGUCUCUCACACACAGAGACAUAUACACAGAUAGACACACAGAGGGACACAUACACACACACACACACACACACACACACACACACACACACACACACACACCCCUGCACUCUACGCUGCUAUCCAGGGACCCUCAAGCCAGUCCUUCAGUGGUUCCACCUUUGCAGAGUGGACCCCUAACAUCCCACAGGCUCUGCCUCCCCUCUUCUCCUGGCUUCUUGCUUCUGUCUCGCCUGGCAGUUGCCUGCUGCUCGGGUGCCCUCCUUGGCCUUGGAAACAGGAGAAAGCUGUGGGACUCCUGGCUCUCAUUAGACUUUAGACUGGGCCAUGCGCCUGAUUCCAAAGGCCGUAUCUCCUGAAGUCUUGGGUCACGUUGUGUCAGCAAAGCAUCGGAGUGGGAUAAGUGAGCUCCUGCACAGGUGACAGGCACUCAGGUGUCCGUGUGCCUUAAAUCUGAGCCCUAGGGGCUGUUGGCACAGCCACAGAUGAAACCCCCAAGCCUCAGUUUUGCCACCUGCAAAGAGGG